UACGUAGGGUGCAAGCGUUGUCCGGAAUUAUUGGGCGUAAAGGGCUCGUAGGCGGUCCAUCACGUCGGGAGUGAAAAGCUGGGGCUUAACCCCAGUCCUGCUUCCGAUACGGGUGGACUAGAGGUAGGUAGGGGAGAACGGAAUUCCUGGUGUAGCGGUGAAAUGCGCAGAUAUCAGGAGGAACACCGGUGGCGAAGGCGGUUCUCUGGGCCUUACCUGACGCUGAGGAGCGAAAGCGUAGGGAGCAAACAGG
RNAcentral lists this ribosomal RNA (253 nucleotides) under uncultured bacterium. Its description in RNAcentral is "partial 16S ribosomal RNA". It matches the Rfam family "Bacterial small subunit ribosomal RNA", at positions 524 to 776 of the family's 1533-position model. The record is from RNAcentral.